GCGGAUGUAGCUCAAUGGUAGAGCCUCUGCCUUCCAAGCAGAUCACGCGGGUUCGAUUCCCGUCAUCCGCUCCG
RNAcentral lists this transfer RNA (74 nucleotides) under Schaalia meyeri. RNAcentral's name for it is "tRNA-Gly". It matches the Rfam family "tRNA". Rfam says of the family: Transfer RNA (tRNA) molecules are approximately 80 nucleotides in length. Lineage: Bacteria; Bacillati; Actinomycetota; Actinomycetes; Actinomycetales; Actinomycetaceae. The record is from RNAcentral. RNAcentral also lists the same sequence under 2 other names.